This 495-nucleotide long non-coding RNA is filed under the name Lathyrus oleraceus (garden pea). RNAcentral's name for it is "Pisum sativum (pea) long non-coding RNA (PSAT_LNC039981)". The record is from RNAcentral. Lineage: Eukaryota; Viridiplantae; Streptophyta; Magnoliopsida; Fabales; Fabaceae.
AGCUUUUGUUCUCUUCAAUUCAUGUCUGGUAAAUCUGUAAAAACAUGAGGAAGCGACAUACAUUUUUAUUAACAUGAAAAAUGAUUGCGAACUAUGUGCAUUAUGAUGUUCUGUUUUUGCCAGUAAAACAAGUGAAAAACAACACUUGAAAGCGCAAAAAGAUUCAAAACAUCUAAUCCAUCCUUUAUUGUUGUCAUGGGUACAACAUAUGUUGAAAGCCGAUAUCGUGUGGUAAUAGCAAUAAAACAUUGUAAAAUAAUUUGAAAAUAUAGCACACAAGUUAAUAAAACUGUUUUACGCAAUUAAUUUUUUAGGAUAUAGAAUAAAGUAGAAUUCGAGUAGUUUAUAAUUUUAAGAACCUUUAUUUGCUUUGGCAGACAAUUCCUUGUGAAUUGGUAAGAGACAUUUAACUUGAAAAAGAGAUAGAGACAUUUAUUUGGAUGUUGGGUGAGGAAAGAGUUUGGCGGCACGGUAUGUAAUUAGGAUGAUCGGACG